Molecule: ribosomal RNA, 1114 nt
Filed under: Vibrio sp. R614C5
Lineage: Bacteria; Pseudomonadati; Pseudomonadota; Gammaproteobacteria; Vibrionales; Vibrionaceae
Description: bacterial SSU rRNA
Rfam family: Bacterial small subunit ribosomal RNA
Source: RNAcentral
ACUGAAGCAGACAAUCCCGCGUAUUAUGAAAAAAGUCCUUCGGGUUUAAAGUACUUUCAGUCGUGAGAAAGGUUCAUUACGUUAAUAGUGUUUUGAUUUGACGUUAGCGACCGAAAGAAGCACAGCUAACUCCGGCCAGCAACCGCGGUAAUACGGAGGGUGCGAAGAGUAAUCGGAAUACUGGGCGUAAAGCGCAUGCAGGUUGUUUGUUAAGUCAGAUGGUGAAAGCCCCGGGGCUCAACCUCGGGAAUUGCAUUUGAAACUGGCAUACUAGAGUACUGUAGAGGGGGGUAGAAUUUCAGGUGUAGCGGUGAAAUGCGUAGAGAUCUGAAAGGAAUACCGGUGGCGAAGGCGGCCCCCUGGACAGAUACUGACACUCAGAUGCGAAAGCGUGGGGAGCAAACAGGAUUAGAUACCCUGGUAGUCCACGCCGUAAACGAUGUCUACUUGGAGGUUGUGGCCUUGAGCCGUGGCUUUCGGAGCUAACGCGUUAAGUAGACCGCCUGGGGAGUACGGUCGCAAGAUUAAAACUCAAAUGAAUUGACGGGGGCCCGCACAAGCGGUGGAGCAUGUGGUUUAAUUCGAUGCAACGCGAAGAACCUUACCUACUCUUGACAUCCAGAGAAGCCAGUAGAGAUACAGGUGUGCCUUCGGGAGCUCUGAGACAGGUGCUGCAUGGCUGUCGUCAGCUCGUGUUGUGAAAUGUUGGGUUAAGUCCCGCAACGAGCGCAACCCUUAUCCUUGUUUGCCAGCGAGUAAUGUCGGGAACUCCAGGGAGACUGCCGGUGAUAAACCGGAGGAAGGUGGGGACGACGUCAAGUCAUCAUGGCCCUUACGAGUAGGGCUACACACGUGCUACAAUGGCGCAUACAGAGGGCAGCAAGCUAGCGAUAGUGAGCGAAUCCCAAAAAGUGCGUCGUAGUCCGGAUUGGAGUCUGCAACUCGACUCCAUGAAGUCGGAAUCGCUAGUAAUCGUGGAUCAGAAUGCCACGGUGAAUACGUUCCCGGGCCUUGUACACACCGCCCGUCACACCAUGGGAGUGGGCUGCAAAAGAAGUGGGUAGUUUAACCUUUCGGGGAGGACGCUCACACACUUGUUUUUCUGAGCCUAGGU